This 253-nucleotide ribosomal RNA is filed under the name uncultured bacterium. Its description in RNAcentral is "partial 16S ribosomal RNA". It matches the Rfam family "Bacterial small subunit ribosomal RNA", at positions 524 to 776 of the family's 1533-position model. The record is from RNAcentral.
UACGUAGGGUGCAAGCGUUGUCCGGAAUUAUUGGGCGUAAAGAGCUCGUAGGCGGUUCGUCGCGUCGGCUGUGAAAUCCCGGGGCUCAACCCCGGGCCGGCAGUCGAUACGGGCGGACUGGAGUUCGGCAGGGGAGACUGGAAUUCCUGGUGUAGCGGUGAAAUGCGCAGAUAUCAGGAGGAACACCGGUGGCGAAGGCGGGUCUCUGGGCCGAUACUGACGCUGAGGAGCGAAAGCGUGGGGAGCAAACAGG